This 254-nucleotide ribosomal RNA is filed under the name uncultured bacterium. RNAcentral describes it as "partial 16S ribosomal RNA". It matches the Rfam family "Bacterial small subunit ribosomal RNA", at positions 524 to 776 of the family's 1533-position model. The record is from RNAcentral.
UACAGAGGUCUCAAGCGUUGUUCGGAUUCAUUGGGCGUAAAGGGUGCGUAGGUGGCGCCGUAAGUCGGGUGUGAAAUUUCGGAGCUUAACUCCGAAACUGCAUUCGAUACUGCGGUGCUUGAGGACUGGAGAGGAGACUGGAAUUCAUGGUGUAGCAGUGAAAUGCGUAGGAGAUCAUGAGGAAGACCAGUGGCGAAGGCGGGUCUCUGGACAGUUCCUGACACUGAGGCACGAAGGCCAGGGGAGCAAACGGG